RNAcentral lists this long non-coding RNA (1491 nucleotides) under Echeneis naucrates (live sharksucker). Its description in RNAcentral is "lncRNA (ENSENLG00000003616.1)". Lineage: Eukaryota; Metazoa; Chordata; Actinopteri; Carangiformes; Echeneidae. The record is from RNAcentral.
AUGGGGAAGGGGUUGAGUAAAGAAAAACCAAGAGAUAAAUUGCAGUGUCAGGAUUGGAAAUUCAUAGAACAACAGGAUCCAUGUAAAAAUCGAAAACUAGACAGAUGGAUUGUUAAACACAAUUUCGACGGAAGUUUAAAUACGCAAAAGAUAAGUGUAUUACAAGACAGCAUUACAAAACUAACCAAAAAAAAUCCCCAAAAAAUGAAGCAGGAAGGUUAUGAAGAAACACAGUACUGGAUGAAAGUGGCAGGACAAAGAGAAGGAGGAAAGAGAAAGAAAAAACAGAAAGAACAGGAUCAUAGACAAAAAGAUAAAGACGAAGACCGUGAAAAAGACUUAAUGUAUCAGAGGAAAGAAGACAAUGAGACAGGACCUAGCAGACGACCUAGAGGCGACCGAGAUUUAGGCCAAGAGGCCGAAGGGGGAGCUGCAGGUCCAGCUCCCUCAGGACCAGGACGAGGACUUUACCCAGACUUAAGUGAGUUACCACCAUAUGAUGGACCAACAGAAACCUCUAGAAGUACUCGAUCUAGGGGAAGAGUAGGAGACUGGUCCAAAAUAAUGGGAAAAGUCUUUUCCCCGGGAGAGAAAUCUCCACCGGUAGUACAGCAGGAUGAGUUAGGGACAAUGAUUGAGGUAGCAAAUCCAAAUGUCGACGAUGCCAACAACCCCGUUAUUCUAGUUUAUAGGACGUGGACUAUAGACGAUGUAAAGAAGGCCAUAGAAGGAGUGACCUCCCAUAAGGAGGAUGUCACACAAUUCGUUCAAGAUAUGGAGAACUUGAGACAUUCCUACCAUUUAAACGGGCAGGAAGUGCAGCAGGUCUGGAUGCAGGCGCUAGGACCAGACUGGCAUUAUGUGAGGGGUCCAUGGAACCCUAUGAGAGGAGAUUGUGUUCUGGGUCAUGAUGACCCUGAGUUAAAUAACCGUGUACGAGACCUGAAUGACAGAGUUACUCUACAGUUUAGACAUAGAGCUAACUACACCGAGAUAGGUAGAGUAAAGCAAAAGGAGGAUGAAUCCUUUGAAGAAUAUAAGAUAAGAAUGACAACUAAAUUCAAAACCCACAGUGGAUUGCAAGAUGAUGGAAAUAUAAAUGGGGUAUUCCAGCAACAAUUAAAAAAUGCUCUCCAUGCAGGAUCAAAAGAUGGAAUACGUUGCUGGGUUAAUAAACAUUACAUAGGAUUCGCUACAGGGACCAUGGAGGACUAUGUUAACCAUGCCCUCCAUGCAGAAAAAGUAAUUAAGGAGAAAAAAGGUGGAGUGUUUUAUCAGGAGAAAGAAGAGGAAAAAGAGGUGUUCUACCAAGAUAGCGGCAGAGGCCAAGGACGUGGUGGAUACAGAGGGAGAGGAGGCUUUCGAGGCAGAGGCCGAGGAGGAAGUUACAGAGGAGGAUAUCAACAAAACCCAAGAGAGUGUUGGUGUUGUGGAAGAGAGGGACAUAUUGCCAGAAACUGUCCACAAAAAAAAUCGGGUGAGUUGAAAUGA